GGUGAAUAAUCCUUUACCAUCGUAUUUUCAAAGAAACGCAUGAACGUGUUAUGCUAUUUCAGUCAGUCUCACUACAAAAAGUACUGAGGUCGACUGAAGCAGCAUGAUAAACACGAACGUUUCCGAGAAAAUACGAUGGCAAAGGAUUGUUCACUACAUCUGUAUAGACUAUAGGUGACCUUAGCCAUUUGACAAACCCUGAAAUCCCACGUAGGGUUACUUCUCAGGAAUGCUCUAACGUUAAUAUUUUUUUAAUUAGAACAAAAGAUAUAAAUUUUCAAACAAAAAUUAAUUCCAAU
This is a long non-coding RNA of Cydia strobilella, 299 nucleotides long. RefSeq lists it as uncharacterized. NCBI's taxonomy places the organism in Eukaryota, Metazoa, Arthropoda, Insecta, Lepidoptera, Tortricidae. The record is from RefSeq and is a predicted model, not a curated record. The transcript is spliced from 2 exons.